Molecule: long non-coding RNA, 541 nt
Organism: Capra hircus (goat)
Lineage: Eukaryota; Metazoa; Chordata; Mammalia; Artiodactyla; Bovidae
Exons: 3
Source: RefSeq, a predicted model, not a curated record
GCCUGUCCAGCAAGGUCAGCCGUGGGCUGGCCUGAUUGCUUCAACAUUCUAAUCAACCAAAAGCCAAAGAGGUCAUGCCGUUUUCAAGGAGUCAUGCUCCAGUGAAACACACCUGACAUGAAAAUGCUACCCAGUGAGGCUCAUCCAUGCUGAUCCAGUUGCCGCCUAAGAAUCAGUGUUGAUUCCCCAGCUCCCCAUCGGAAGGUACCACAGUGACCUCCGGGCAGGGCUGCUGUUAGCUCCAGCCCCCAGGGAAGCCCCACACAACAGCAGACCACAGAUGUGUACACAGCUCUACUGCCCCCAAAAGAGCUAAAUGGGUCUGCCCUACAACAAACCUUUCUCUGCAGCCAUCACCGUGCUGGUCCUGAGGUCCGCCUACUCCCAGUGCCUCAUCCUGGCGCCUGCACAGACUCGCCCAGCGCACGUGUCCUCACUGAGCACCACCACGUGCCCAGAAAGCUCCCCAUGGCAGAGGAGAGCAGGACAGGCCCAGUUCCUGCGAGCGUGCAAGGAAGCAGGAUGGACAAGAAGCAAGCGA